This 510-nucleotide ribosomal RNA is filed under the name Bradysia sachalinensis. RNAcentral describes it as "partial 16S ribosomal RNA". Lineage: Eukaryota; Metazoa; Arthropoda; Insecta; Diptera; Sciaridae. The record is from RNAcentral.
GUCUUUUUGUAUUAAAUAUAAAGUUUAACCUGCCCAUUGAAAAUAUUUUAAAAGGCUGCGGUAUUUUGACCGUACAAAGGUAGCAUAAUCAUUAGUUUUUUAAUUGAAAACUUGUAUGAAUGGUUGAAUGAGAAAUUUACUUUUUUUUUAAAAAUAUUGAAGUUUACUUUUUAAUUAAAAGGUUAAAAUGAAUUUAAAAGACGAGAAGACCCUAUAGAGUUUUAUAAUUAAUUAAGUAUUUUAAAAAUAGAUUUUUAUAAUUUAUAUUUAGUUAAUUAUUUUGUUGGGGUGAUAGUAAAAUUUAAUUAACUUUUAUUUAAAAAAAAAUUCAUUAAUUUAUGAUUAUUUGAUCCAAUUUUAUUGAUUAAAAAAUUAAAUUACCUUAGGGAUAACAGCGUAAUUUUUUUUUAAGUUCAUAUUAAUAAAAAAUUUUGCGACCUCGAUGUUGGAUUAAGAUUAAAUUUAGGUGCAGAAGUUUAAGUUUUAAGUCUGUUCGACUUUUAAAUUCUU